CUCUUUCUCUCUUCAGGAAAUACACAUAAAAGAAUGCAUAGAAAAAGAAGUAAAUCCUCACUUAUUACCAGGUGAACUGUUGCUUUGUGAGGCAAGCACAGUGUACAAGUAUAUACAAGAAGAUGGGUCAAAUCGUGGCACCUACGGGAAACUUGUAUGCACAAACUUCAAGAUUGCUUUCCUUGAUGAUGAUUCUGCUUCGGACGAUAACGAGCCACAACUUAAGAAUAAGAUUGUAGGAGAAAACGACAUAACCCUGCAAUGUGUAGAUCAAAUCUAUGGAGUUUAUGAUGAGAAAAAGAAACUUCUAACUGGACAAUUGAGAAAAUACCCAGAGAAGCUAAUUAUCUACUGUAAAGAUCUUAGAGUAUUUCAUUUCUGCCUGAGAUACACAAAAGAAGAAGAAGUGAAAAGA
Molecule: long non-coding RNA, 415 nt
Organism: Calidris pugnax (ruff)
Lineage: Eukaryota; Metazoa; Chordata; Aves; Charadriiformes; Scolopacidae
Exons: 4
Source: RefSeq, a predicted model, not a curated record